Oryctolagus cuniculus (rabbit) is the source of this 8999-nucleotide non-coding RNA. NCBI's taxonomy places the organism in Eukaryota, Metazoa, Chordata, Mammalia, Lagomorpha, Leporidae. The record is from RefSeq and is a predicted model, not a curated record.
GGGUGGGAAAGGGCAGGGAGGCCAGAGCCGGAGAGCGGCUGCGAGGAGGAAUCAAAGGGGAGCCAGCCGCCAGCCUCUGCUCGCAGCUAGCAGGAUGAUCGCAGAGGAAAUUAAAAGUGAGUUUCCUUGAAGGAGGAGAAGGUAAUUGGUUCCCUCUGCUCUGGUGUCCCAGCACCUGCCCUCCAUCUGCACCCGGAGGAGGAGUCAUCAUGGGAGGCCGCGGCACCGAACUACAGAGCUCUUCCAGGCCGUCCGAAAUGCGCGCACAUGCACAUGCGCAUACAGCACAUCCACACGCGCAUGCGCGGGCACGCACAUGCGCAGUCCAUCUGCCCCGUCUUCCCGCCCUCCAGCCGCAUCAAACCCUGUCAGAAGAGAAGAGGAAGAACCCGAGACGUGGAGAAGCCGAGAAAGCAAUGAACAGCUGAGGCGGGAGAGGACCUGCCCUGGUUUGGACAAGAGCUCAUGUGGAUUGAAGCCACGAAGCCCUGGGUGAGUGGUGCUAACAGGGUGGACGCUUGAUGCAGGUGCAGUGGGAAGACCUGGGGUGGCUACGGCCAUGACCUUGGGAGGCAGACUCUGUGGGAGGGUUGGUUAUAGAAAAGCCGAGCUGGACCCCACCACCCUCUCGGCUGCACAAGCAUGCCCUCACCAGGGGUCAGGGAACCAACCUUGGACAGAGACGCUCCACAACUCUGAGCUGCGAGAAGCCGCCUCCCUUCCGAAGUCGCCCGUCUCCAGGGUUUCGCUGCAGCCAUGAGAAGACAACUCUCACUGCCUCACCUCGCAUCCUGUGUCUUCUCCAGGGCACCCUCCAAGACCACUCCAAGAAAAUCCCAUUCCCUGCCUUCCCCUCCCCGCUCCCAGGCUGCGCAGGUGGCGGGCGGCUCCUCCCGCUCAGGAGAACCCAGUAACCAUGAUUUGGGAGUCCCCAUCCGGAGUCAGCAGCUGGGGCACUCCGACGACAGCCUGUGUGCACGUGUGGUUGCCUCUCUCUGCUUCUGCCAUUUGAGCGGAGGAGCCCCUGAGCUGGUGUCACCGUGAGGUCCAGUUGACUCGAGUGAAGUGCCCAUUCAUUACAAAGCUAUGCAGAAUGCAAGAGGAAAUUCAGGGAGCCUCAGAGAUGGCCACAGAGGGACCGGAGACAGGCAGACGAGAACCAAAAGGAGCCAACUCAACAGGGGACCCCCAGGGCUGCCGGGUCAGGUGCAGUGGGUUCUACUGCCUAGACCACGCUCUGUUCGGGUCACAGAGCCACUGUUGCCAACACCUUCAACUCAAUGGAGCUGCACCAAGGCACUGCCUCAUGCCAGAUGUGCCCUCCGACCAGGUCAGACCCCAGCUCCACCCUCGCAGACAGAGACCAGAGACCAAGGCAGGCACAAAGCGCCUCACGGUCCUGGGUUCAUGGGAUGAGCUUUCUUGUUCUUAGGAGGGGUUAGAGUCAGAUUCCCGUGGAAAUCUUGCCACGCGACUUGGCCCUGAACGAGUUACCCAGCCGCCGUGCGUCUGAGUCCGCUCACCUGUACAGAGGGAACGAACACGACCCUGUUACGUCUCCAGGAUGCAGUGCCCUAGGCCAUCCGACGGUGCCAUGUUGAGUGUGAUGCCCUCCUUGUGUACAGCCAAACAGGAAACUCUACUCAGAGCGAAAUACCGUUCUUUCCUGCUUCCACAAAAACCAGCUCUUUAAACAAACCUCCAAACUUCUCCUUGGAAACGUGCCAGCCCCAAGCGCUAUUUGGGCAACAACAGACAAAUUUGAAAAUUAGAAGCGAACUUCCAAUGCGAGUUGGCAUUAGCGAAGCCAUCGAUAAGUUUCUCAACUUCUGCCGCCUUGCUUCUGCAGCGCGUGGUGUUAAUUCUGUUAAACAUUGUUGUUGCCGAGUGUUCCUUAAAUAGCUUUUAAUUGGUCGUAAUUGGGAGGAAGCGUGUUCUGCCUGAGAUGCAGGGGCAGGAAUCGUCAAAAAAUAAAAUGAACGGAUAACAUGCCGCGGAGGAACGCGCAGGCCUGCGGUAUCGUUCCGCAUUCCCUUCGCAAGUGCAGGGGGACUUUUCAUUGUGUCGAUUUCACUUGCAAUCGCUCUUCACACAGCACCAAGCUUUUGGCAAUGUGUCUUGUGGCUCCGCGGAAUAGUUCUUCUUCACCUUCUGUGUGUUCUUCACGGAGAACUUUUCAACCACAUGAAUCACUUGGGCUGCUGGGGAAAAAAUGCAAACGAGUCAGCAGUGGCCCUUCACCCAGGAAUGUGAAGUCUGUGGGGGGGUGGGGGACGCCCGGCCAGCACACCCUCGAAGGCCUGCAGGAUCAAUGGAUUUGGCUCUGCCUUCUGUGACCACCAGUGCGACUCACAGGCCAAUUUCUAAGCUGCUAAUUUCCUAUGGUCGGUGAUUGAUGCUAGAGAUAUGCAAAUUACCCUUGGCAGAAAAAAAAAAAAAGGUUCCCCAUCCACAGGUAAUUAACGCUGUCAGAAAGGCUAAGCCCUGUUAAGGCCCCCCUUGAAUGUUGUGCAGGAAACCAACCUCCUGUGCUGACAUGUGGCAGAUCAACAGGUGAGAAGUAGAUGAUGCAAACAUCUUUUUGUUGUCAUGGGAUUUUGGCAAAAUCCCAACAAAGCAAUCUCUCUCUUUUUUUUUUUAAACUGGAGAACUCCAGUUUUUGGACCUUUUUAAGAUACGGUUCUAGACAUGUGAGCGCAUGACUCUGUCAUGGCAUCUUGUAUCCCUUUAGCUAAGGGAGCCACAGACGCUCUGACAGCUUUGCCUUGGCAAAUGCAAGCCAAGGCGCCUGCACUCUUUCGGCUGUAGAGGUGGGUGGAGGUCUCAUAUGCCACUCUGAGGGUUGCCAAGCACCACCAAAGGAUAGCCCUGGUCUCACUGCCUGGAGUGUUUCAGGCACGCGGACUCUGUUUAAAUGGCAUCUGGUGUAAAAUAUGUGCAAGUAUUAGCAACACUUUUUUUUUUUUCCAAAAUAGCAAAGCUCUGAAUUAUGCAGAGGGAAAAUUGACAAGUGCAGUGCUAGCGGGGUACAACGGUGCGUCUGUAGGAUGUAAUAUAUCCUUGCAAUUGCUUAGCCAUUAAGGAACUAAGAGGUGGGAUCUGAAAGGUCUUGUCUAACAGACAGAGGGAUUUAGUACUCCCCAGGUCAUUGGGUCCAGAAUAGAUGUCCUUGAAUCUCCGUAGAAUUUUGCUCACUUGCGCUUCCCAUGGAGGCCAGAGUGGAAUGCUAUUCAAGUGCAGCUUUAUUUAUCCUGUCAUGGUGUCAGGUGUAUUUAAAAGCCAGUUGCUUACAUGAAAGCCACAGUGAGCACUAGAGAAGCUUUCAGUUGGUGGGGCCCCUUGUAAUCACGGGGGAACCACCCAAGGAUGACAGGGCUCCCUUGCUUGCGGGGUGAUCCAAACCUCCGUGACCUAGCCCAGCGCAAGCCCCAUUUCCUGCUUUGGGUGUCCUGGGCAGCACUGCCCUCCUGGGCUCCUCCCACUUUGCUGUUUUUCUCUGCUCCUCUGACUGCAUGAAUCACAGGCAGCCUUUAAGACCCAGCCUAGACCUCUGCUGCUGAGGUCCUGGAUGGAGACAGCCCAUGCAUUACAAAGGGCGAUUGGAGGGGGGUGGGUAGGAACUGGGUAGAGGAAGUGGCUUGGGCCAGGGCUCUUGGGAGAGCAACCAGGGAGUCGGCAGCACGCUGGGACUAACCCUGGGAGCUGCUUCUGUUCCUGGGUCCGGGAGAGCUGAAAGGAGGCAGCUCUCCCGGAAGCCAGAGCAGAGCCCAGGGUGUAGGUGUGACUGCCUGUAGGAACCCCGGCCGGCCCUAGAGGGACCUGGUCAGUGUUAACCUUCAGCCUGGCGGAGAGGAAGCCAGAGGCAAGCAAACCCCUGCGCUUCCUUCCCACUGUUCAUCCCCUGCCUCUGCCUGACCUUGGCCAAACCCAACCUGAAGGUGCAGGACAGGGAGCCCCUCCUGGAGCCUUCCUGGGUCAGCCUCCCGGCCAGAGCCCAAGAAAGGCGAGAGCCUGGGUUGGGAGGGGCAGCCUCUGCUUCUCCUUGGAACACCCCGGGGAGUGCAGCCCAGCCAAGCCAGCUCUCCUCUGCACUCUUUGAAAGCACAUUUGGCCUUGAGCAGCUCAAGUUGCGCUGCAAGGCUACUGCUGUCUGCAUCCCGUGCUCCCUGCACUGUGUGAGCUCCUGCGAGAAGGGGCCUUGACUCGGCCUCUCUGGUUCUUAGAUGGAGACGACUGUCCUGGAGAGUCCUGGCUGUGUCAGCUUUGAUCGGCCUUUUCUUGCCCCCUCCCACACAUCCCAACCUGGACGUGGGGCUCUGGUAGAUUUUCCUGGAGGGUGUGGAUCCUGGGUUUGGGUUGGGAGGUUUUCAGCAGGUGCAGCAGGCAGCAAGGGUGCAGGAGUCGGCAGAGCAGAGCAGAGCUGAGGGCCGUGUUCAGGAGGAUUUCUCUGAAUGGGUCGGGGUGGAGGCAGGCGCCGAGAGGGGAUGUGAGCUGGGAGUGCAGGGCCAAGGGGACCUGAACAGCAGGAGUGCAGGGUGAGGAGGACCACCCUGGAGAUGUGGGAAUGGGCUGGGGUGGGGCCUGCCAUUGUCUAGAUCUGUACUGUCCAAUAUGGCAGCCACCAGUCUGGUUCAGUCAUGUACAUUUUUUUAAGAUUUAUUUAUUUGUUUGAAUAAAUAAAUUCAGUUACAGAGAGGCAGAGGCAGAGAGAGAGAGAGAGAGAGAGAGAGAGAGAGAGAGUCUUCCAUCUGCUGGUUCACUCCCCAAAUAGCUGCAAUGGCCAAAGCUGGUCCUAUCGGAAGCCAGGAGCCAGGAGCUUCUUCCGGGUCUCCUUCUUGGGUGCAGGGGCCCAAGGACCUGGGCCAUCUUCUACUGCUUUCCCAGGUCACAGCAGAGAGCUGGAUCGGAAGUGGAGCAGCUGAGACUCAAACUGGUGCCCAUAUAGGAUGCCAGCACUGCAGGCAAUGGCUUUACCCGCUACACCACAGCGCCGGACCCCAGUCAUGUAAAUUUAACUGAACUAAAACAAAAUCAAACCCAGAGUCAUUUCCCAGCCACCCAGCACACUUCAGGUGCUGUGGGGGUUGGCCAGGGCACCCUAAGGACAUUCUCAUCACUGCAGAACCUUCUACCACAUAGAACAUCCUUGAGAUUUUAGGGUCCCAGUGAGGCUAGAGGCCAUCUUGGUUGGCGUUGGUCUGGGCACACCUGCCGUGACGUCCGGCACGCCCAGCUCCCCAUCUCGAGUGUGCUAGUGGACAGCGGUGUGACGACGAUUCCCUGUCUAGACAAUGGAGGACUCAACAGACUGAGCCCCUGCAGGCGUCCUGGAUGGCCUUGGACACACAGAGGGAGCUGGCUGCCAGCCCCGCUCACAGCAGCCAGAGCACCAGGCGGCACUGUGGGGAGCUUGCUGUGCCGUCGCUGGGCUGAGGUUCGCCGUGACUGCCUGCAGCCACUCUCACCAGAACUCUGCGCCACAGCCUCGCUGUCCCCACUCUUGCAGUCCGAGCUGUGCAGCCGACGGAGCCAACUCUUUCCGUUUGAUGAAAACCUGUCGCACAGUGUCCUCUGCCACUGUUCAGAACAGGAUCUCAAGCUUCAUGGGCGGGGGCUGAUGCUUGGUUGCUAAUUGGCACAUGGAUGCUGACAAACUUUAACGAAAGCAUUUACGAUUUCUUUAGCAGCUACGAUUGCUUGAACGUUUGCUCCUCAAGGAGGGAUCUUGAAAACAAACCUCUGGUGCCCAAUUCAGCAUGCAGCCUGCAGACUUCUUUAGAUCCAGGAGCUUUUAGAAACACCCAAGGGCUGGCACUUUGGUGUAGUGGGCUAAGCCUCCGCGUGCAGUGCCGGCAUUCAGGAUGGGUGCUGGUUCGAGUCCUGACUGCUCCACUUCUGAUCCAACUCUCUGCUGUGGCCUGGGAAAGCAGUAGAAGGUGGCCCAAGUGCUUGGGCCCCUGCACUCACGUGGGAGACCCAGAAGAAGCUCCUGGCUCCUGGGGUACUUCACUUACAUUCUUGGAAUUUCUGUUUCUUUUGAUAUUUUUUUGGGGGGGUCAAUAUUUAGAAAAGCAUAUUUUAAUUUUAUUUGAAAUGGAGACAUCAGACAGACACACACACUCACACUCACACACACAUAUCUUCCAUCUGCUGGUUCACUCCCCAAAUGCCUGCAACAGAUGGAGCUGAACCAGGACUACAAUCAGGAGCCCAGAACUCAAUCCAGAUCUCCCAAGUGGACGGCAGGGACCCACGUCCUUGAGCCGUCAUCUGCCACCGCCCGGAGCAUCAGCAGGAAGCUGGAACUGGAAGCAGAGCCAGGAUGCCCACUUCAAGAUGCGAUGCGGGCGUCCCAGGCUCUGUCUUCGCGGCUAUGCCAGCGGCCAGCCUGGAAUUGCAGUCUUUCCUUUAAGAAGCCCAAGUCCUAGCCCUCUGGGGGGCAGCAUGUAGGGGCGGAGGGAGUCUGUGAUAAGACUUGACCUUGAACACCAGUGCCCUCAGUGAAGUACUCUGCCCCCACCCCGGGAAGCUGCCUCGCUUUCGCUGUCGGGAUAAACCUGGCGUGCAGAAGGAAGAGGCCCCAACGUCACAUCUCAGCCCCCAGCCGCCUGCCUCCCCGUCCUGACACGGGCCUGGGGGACUCCUGGGCUGGCCCCGAGAUGACUAUGGGAAAAACUGAAACUGUGAGAACCCCGUGUAGCGCUUGGGUGGGGGAGAAGUGAGGAUGACAACAGGUGGGCGCCAAGGGCGGUGACCCGACGCCCCCGGGGCCUGCAGGCGGCGUCAGCCUGCGCAGAGAGCCGGGGUUCAGCAGCCUGGCCCAGCCCUUCCAGGUCAUCGUGUUCUGGUGAGCCUGGCCUUCGCGCAUGCGCGUGUGGGCCCUUCCCUGGAUGGCUAUUUGGGGCGUGUGGGGGGAUUCUGAGCUCCCCAGGGGGCAGUCGCGCUGCGGGGCUGAGUGCUCCACUCGGGGACCUGUAUCGAUGGGGAACAGUGUGCUGGGUACCACCGCUCCCUCCCUCCCUGCCCCUGCGUCUCCCUGGUCCUUGCCCUGCCGUCUGGUGGAGCCCCGGCUGGUGUGAGCUCUCCAGGGGGGUGAAGCUUCAAUCUCACAAGCCUUUGCCGAGGGUGGCGUUCCCAUUUACAGAGAAGUGGAGUGGCUCCUCCCACCCUGCCGCCUCCUCUUCUCCCCUUCCUGCUCUCCCUGCUUCUUCCAAGCAGGCUUCCAGGACUACCUUGUUACCUAUAAAUGUUUUUGAGCUCAGAGACACCCAUUGGGCUACCUUUCAGGCUGCCCCUGGUGUGUGCAGCUUUUGGCCACAGAUCCGCUCUGUUCUCCUGCGGGAGGACCCUACUACUCGACACAGAACCAGACCUCCUUUUUUUUUUUUUUUUUUUUUAAAGAUUUAUUUAUUUUUUUUAAAGAUUUAUUUAUUUGAAAGGCAGAGUUACUGAGAGAGAGAGAGAGAGAGACUGAGAGACCUUCUAUCUGCUGGUUCACUCCCCAAAUGGCUGCAAUGGCCAGGGCUGGGCCAGGCUGAAGCCAGGAGCCAGGAGCUUCUUCCGGGUCUCCCAUGUGGGUGCAGGGGCCCAGUCACUUAGCAAUAAUCUGCUGCUUUCUCAGGCCACAGCAGAGAGCUGGAUUGGAAGUGGAGCAGCCGGGACUUGAACCAGUGCCCAUAUGGGAUGCUGGUGCUGCAGGGGGAGGAUUAACUUGCUGCGUCAUGGCGCCGGCCCGGGCCUUUUUGUUUUGAGAGAACUCUAAUUCGUGCAGAGGGCUUGGGCUUGGAGGCUGAGUCCUUCCCCCAGACUGUGUGAAACGUGUGCCCUGCACCACGCAGUCCCGUCUUGGGGCUGCGCCCUUGGAAUUGAUGUUCUCAGCAGGGCGCCAUGUUCUGCUGAGCCCUGGUUACUCGGGCCAAGGGUCAGAAUCUGCUUCUGCAUCUCCUGCUGGGUCCGUGGUCUCAGUGCUUGGCCUGUCCCUUGAUCUCUACGUCUUCAGUGUAAUAACUUCUUCUUGUUAUGGUUGGUGGCAUUGGGCCAGUACAGAGAGGCACGGAGUGGGCCCAGAGAGGGGAGGAGACUGGCCCACAGUCAUACAGCGAGGAGCAGAGUUGGGACAGACUCUGUGGCCCAGCCUGGUGCUCCUCCAGGCCUCAGUCCUGCACCUGCUGAUCCUUGGGCCGGCUGCUGACCCCAGGCUGUCUCUUCAGCUUAAAAGAGCUUAAAAUAAGCUUUUGACUGUAGUAUGAAUUUAAAAUGUCUCAAAAGUGGCCAACGCUGUGGCGUAGUGGGUAAAGCCGCCGCCUGCAGUGCUGGCAUCCCAUAUGGGCACCGGUUCGAGUCCCGGCUGCUCCACUUCCGAUCCAGCUCUCUGCUGUGGCCUGGGAAAGCAGUAGAAGAUGGCCCAAGUCCUUGGGCCCUCCACCCUUGUGGGAGACCCAGAAGAAGCUCCUGGUUCCUGGCUUCGGAUCGGUGCAGCUCCAGCCAUUGUGGCCAAUUGGGGAGUGAACCAGUGGAUGGAAGACCUCUCUCUCUGUAACUCUGCCUUUCAAAUAAAUAAAUAAAUCUAAAAAAAAAAAAAAAACCUCAAUAAUGAAACAAGGAAAGAAAGAAGGAAAAGAAAGAAGAAAAGAAGGAGGCGAGAGGGAGGGAACGUCAUUAAUUCUUAGAAUUGUACCUAUGGAUUACACUGAAUCUGCUCUUUUUGUGUUAGUAUCACAUUAACAUGAAGGAAAAUAAAGCAAUAAAAAACCACACCCAGAAUCGCCUUGGCUUUCACAGAUCUGACUGAGACCAAAACCAAAACCAAACAAACGAAAAACAUCAAAGGGUGGAGGGCCUGGGUGAAAGCAGAAAGUCAUAAAGCUCCCCACCCUCCCCGGUCCCAACCCAAGAGGCUUGCCUUUUAUUAUUUUAUGUUUUUAUUUACUGAUUUUCACUGUGUUUGAAAGGCAGAGAGAAAGACAGAGGUAACUUCUAUCUAUUGGUAGACUCCCCAA